UUUGUUUAUUUGGAAGCAACGCGAAGAACCCUUACCCGGUCUUGACCUUCUUUGGCAAUCCUAGAGAUAGGACGUCCCCUUCGGGGGCAGAGUGACAGGUGGUGCAUGGUUGUUGUCAGCUCGUGUCGUGAGAUGGUGGGUUCAAUCCCGCAACGAGCGCAACCCUUGGUUUUAGUUGCCAGCAUUCAGUUGGGCACUCUAAGGUGACUGCCGGUGACAAACCGGAGGAAGGUGGGGAUGACGUCAAAUCAUCAUGCCCCUUAUGACCUGGGCUACACACGUGCUACAAUGGGCAGAACAAAGGGCAGCGAAACCGCGAGGUUAAGCCAAUCCCACAAAUCUGUUCUCAGUUCGGAUCGCAGUCUGCAACUCGACUGCGUGAAGCUGGAAUCGCUAGUAAUCGCGGAUCAGCAUGCCGCGGUGAAUACGUUCCCGGGCCUUGUACACACCGCCCGUCACACCACGAGAGUCUGUAACACCGGAAGUCGGUGCGGUAA
Molecule: ribosomal RNA, 497 nt
Filed under: Bacillus amyloliquefaciens
Lineage: Bacteria; Bacillati; Bacillota; Bacilli; Caryophanales; Bacillaceae
Description: bacterial SSU rRNA
Rfam family: Bacterial small subunit ribosomal RNA
Source: RNAcentral